ACAUGGGAGGAUAUUUUUUAUUACAUUUGUUGCGACUACAAACAGUAAUUAAAAUGUGAAGUUCGAAUAAAAGACGGAAUUAUUUCGGAAAUAAAAGCUCAUAAAACGCACUUUGCAUCAUAUUUCUUAUUCGUCACUUAUUAUGACAAGUUUCUUUUGCUUCAAGUUGAUAAUCCAAAAUUGUCAAAAAAUUGUGACCCAUAAUUGUAAAGCGAAAAAAUAAAAAAAGAUUUAAUUUCCAUUAGUUUCAAUGACGUGUAUUGUGUUGUAAAUUUUACGCCUCCAGUGGGUUAGCUGCAGCAUUAUCAUGAUUUCACAAACAUAGGACAAUACAUGAAUGAAAUAAUGAUGUUCCAAAUUUGUCAAUUGUACAUCAACACUCCAUUUAAGCCCAUUAAAAAGGGUUGCACUUGACAGCUUUAUUUUCAUAAUUUACCACGCUUUUUUCCUAUAUUUACUUCAAGGGGUGGUAUUGAAUUCAGCUCUCUAUAGUCUUCCUCAAUUUCAGAGCCAGAUGUGUGCUUAGCACAUAGUUCCUUAUGUAAUACCCUCGCUAUUAAAGAUUAAAAUGAAUUUUCUUUUCUUGAGGUCAUCCUAUUUGAAGAGAGAAAGUGCAAAUUAUGUUACCUUUCCACAUCGUUAAUUCUUCCAGACUGUUUGUCCAAAACCCCAUGAUUUCAGAGCAAUUCUUGCUCUUUUCACUACAAAAAAAAUUCUGCCACAAGUAUGAUUCAUUUUACGUUAUUUUACAAACAAUUUUUUUGCUUUCAGUUAUUGCCUGAAGCGAAAUGGCACUUAACAGUACUCUAGCAAUAGACUCUGCUCCCCUUUAGUGAGCUUUCGUGAAAUAGACUUCAAACUGAUUAAGAGGUUUCCUCUAUUUCCUGACUGUACACUGUUAGUUUAUGUUUUAUAAAUUUUGAUGUCUAUUUUUCUCCGACCACGCAAAUAUCAGUCGCCUAUAAAUAACACGACACUAAGUACAUCCAGCUUCACAGUCGCCACUGCUUUGCGUGUAGACCCGAAGCUUAGCAGAUAGUACAAUGUGUCCAAGAACAUUCGUCGCAGUUUUCUUAAGCAGUUUAAUCUUUACGGCAGGAACCUCCCUGGCAGAUAGUUCAGGCGACAAAGAAGAAUCUAGUUCAUCAGGGGCCAUUGAUAAACCCUCGUCUGAUGCUAUUAACAAAAAUAUUCAAAACGCGGCUUGCUGCUGGAUGGCAGGACCUCCACCUGGCAAAAAAACAACCAUUUUUCACCGAGGUAGAAAGAUGUUUAAUCGGGAGCACCGCGCACAUUACGUUCUUAGAUUCAAGAAAUUCGAUUAAAACUAACCGCUCGUAAACGAUGCAAACAGGAUAGAGAAAAUUGAAGUCGCGGAAAGCCUCGAGAAUCUAAAAUUGACGGUUUUCCGAGGGAAUAAACUCGAUUCUAACACAAUUCUAGUAUUGCUAUAUAGAGGUAAAUAAACAUGACGUCCUGCA
Molecule: long non-coding RNA, 1481 nt
Organism: Pocillopora damicornis (cauliflower coral)
Lineage: Eukaryota; Metazoa; Cnidaria; Anthozoa; Scleractinia; Pocilloporidae
Source: RefSeq, a predicted model, not a curated record